This 148-nucleotide unclassified non-coding RNA is filed under the name soil metagenome. RNAcentral describes it as "partial internal transcribed spacer 1". The record is from RNAcentral.
CCGAGUUUUACAACUCCCAAACCCCUGUGAACAUACCACUUUGUUGCCUCGGCGGAUCAGCCCGCUCCCGGGUAAACGGGACGGCCCGCCAGAGGACCCCUAAACUCUGUUUCUAUAUGUAACUUCUGAGUAAACCAUAAAUAAAUCA